Molecule: long non-coding RNA, 2339 nt
Filed under: Astyanax mexicanus (Mexican tetra)
Lineage: Eukaryota; Metazoa; Chordata; Actinopteri; Characiformes; Acestrorhamphidae
Description: lncRNA (ENSAMXG00005010632.1)
Source: RNAcentral
UCACCCAAAUAAACAGUUUUGAGCAGAGAAAUCUGUGUAGAUUAACAUCCAGCACUGGUUUAACUUUAAAAGAAAGUCUUUUUUAUUACAGUUUUGUUCACUUAGCUUAGCUUUACUUAACUUAGUUAGCUACCCCCCUCCACAACACCACCACCCAGGGGCGACACCUGCUGAAUAAGAAGUUUCUUAUAGUGUCCGGUGCGCCUUAUAGCGUAAAAAAUACAGUAAUUUCAGGGCUGCUUCCUCACUCAGUCUUCACUGGUGUGUUGCAGGUUCACGUCAAGGUGGAUACGUCCCGUCGGUCUAUAAGAAAGAGAUCAGUUCAGCUGGCCAAAGAGUUCAUCUAGCACCUAUAGAUUCUACACUGUCGAAUUAUGCAACGUGGAAAUCGAGCAGGUCGAGCAGUCAGGUGGGCGCAUCAUCCUACGUAUCGUCCCCCACCAAGAGCACACCAGGCCAGAGGCCCCGCCCCCCAGUACAGCCCGUUCACGGACGCACCGAUUGGUCCGCCAAGUACGGCCAUCGAUAGGGCGUCCUCGGUGCCCUACAAUCUAUCUCUGCGUGUGUAAAUUCAGAUUAUAUACAGCAAUAAUCUCUGUUUUAUAUUCCUCUGUGGAAUUUUUGGCUCAUGUACAAUUUUUAUAUUUGUUUUGCAUAAUAAUAUGCACAAGAAAAUUCUCAGUGUUGGUGUUCAGUGUAUCGAAUGAUAUAUUGAUAUAUUGCAAAAAUUGCAAUCUUUUAUCCCUUGUAAUCUUUCAGACUGCUGAAGAGUAUGCAUUAAUAUAUGGUUAGUGGCAUAAAAAUUGUGGCUUUUUUUUUUGUGGAAUUAUUGUGUUUUUUCCCUCUCCUCAGUAUGUGUAUACCUUUUUUAUUUAUGUUUCUUGUUUUCUAAAUCUUUUUUUACAUUAUAUAUUUUGUCUUAUACCAUUUUUUUUUACUGAUUCCCACGCCAAAUUUUGUAAAUCUGCCAAAAAAUGAUUUUUCUGUUUUUUAUUUGCUAUGAAAAGUGUUUUUGUGUGUUGUUCUUCCCUUAACAAAUGCUCUGUAUGUAUGUAUGGUACGUUAUCUUAUGUUAUGCACAGCACAUGUUCAUUGGUUGGUCUGUUUGGUUGGUUGCUGAUCUGCUUGUUUCCAUCACAGCCCUUUUUCAGGAUGGUGUUUUUAAUGUGAUUUUAAUGUAAUUUUGGUAAUAUUGUCAUUUCUCAGCAUAAUCAGCAGCUCUAGAUUAAAGUAUUAAUUAAAGAAAAUGCAUUAUUUUACCAACUAAUCAGACUUGUUCUCUUUUAAUGACGUCUAAUAUUGGACCUCACUGCUCAGAAGUUUUAGUUUUGGAUAAUGUAUUCUCACUUACAGCCACUUUAACAGCUGCAGAUUAAUCUCACGUAUAGCCCCUUUUAAAUCUGCAGAUUAGCAACACUAUCUAGGUAGUUGCUACGGUGUUAGUAAGUGGUUUCCAGUAAGCUUGUUUUCUAUUUUUUGGGGGAUGUUUUCUUUCUUAGUCUUCUGAUUUUUUUGGGGGGUGUUCUUUCUGGUCUUGUAGUUUUUUUGGGGGGUGUUCUUUCUGGUUUUGUAGUCUUUUUGGGGGGUGGUGUUCUUUCUUGAGGUCUAGUUUCCUUUUUGUCGCAAACGUCGAUCACGUGAUCGAUGGCCUCUUGCAUGGACUGCAAAGCAUCUUUAAGAUCCUGAGGAAUUUCCUUCAUGUCCUGAUCCAUCUUCUUGAACUUCUUGUACAGGUCGUUUAGCUGCACGCGGUGCGCUCCUAUUCUCUCCUUCACGUCCUCGGAGUCCACGGACGGAGGGGGCGGCGCGAUGAACGGCUCCUCCUCCAUAUCGCUGCUUCGAUCAUCUGCCAUGACCGUUACCUUCACAGAAACUCGAAUGUGAAGUCAACGCCGCGCGCGCGCUUUAAUGCGAGGGGCGAGGCCGGGCGAUGACGUAAUCGCCGCGGCCGCGCUGCGCGCUUGAGCCAGGGAGCGCGGGAGAGAUGGCGAUGACGUCAUCGCCGCAGCUGCUCGCACAGUGCGUGGGCGCGCGCGUGUGUGUGUGUGUGUGUGAGAGAGAGAGAGAGAGACGGAGCGAGACGGAGCGCGCGCGAUUCAUCAGGUCAACCUGAUUAGCAACCAUCACAUAUGUUAGCACAUGGGUGUUGCUGGGUAGUUGCCAAGGUGUUAUUAUAAGUGGUUGCCAUCACAUCACAUCUGGUGGUUGCUAAGCAGGCAGCAGAUAACACUUUAAAAGCACUUGAAAAAAACUAUAUAUAUAUUUGAGGUUUCUGUUGUAGUGUGAGUAUGAAUUUCACCAUGCAUAAUGAAAAUAAAAAAAAUAAAUAAAUGAAUACA